RNAcentral lists this ribosomal RNA (435 nucleotides) under uncultured bacterium. RNAcentral's name for it is "partial 16S ribosomal RNA". It matches the Rfam family "Bacterial small subunit ribosomal RNA", at positions 29 to 507 of the family's 1533-position model. The record is from RNAcentral.
AGCGAACGCUGGCGGCAGGCUUAACACAUGCAAGUCGAGCGGGCACUUUCGGGUGUCAGCGGCGGACGGGUGAGUAACGCGUGGGAACGUGCCCUCUGGUUCGGAAUAACUCAGGGAAACUUGAGCUAAUACCGGAUACGCCCUUUUGGGGAAAGGCUUGCUGCCGGAGGAUCGGCCCGCGUCUGAUUAGCUAGUUGGUGAGGUAACGGCUCACCAAGGCGACGAUCAGUAGCUGGUCUGAGAGGAUGAUCAGCCACACUGGGACUGAGACACGGCCCAGACUCCUACGGGAGGCAGCAGUGGGGAAUAUUGGACAAUGGGCGCAAGCCUGAUCCAGCCAUACCGCGUGAGUGAUCAAGGCCUUAGGGUUGUAAAGCUCUUUUAUCCGGGACGAUAAUGACGGUACCGGAGGAAUAAGCCCCGGCUAACUUCGUG